This 306-nucleotide long non-coding RNA is filed under the name Ursus americanus (American black bear). Its description in RNAcentral is "lncRNA (ENSUAMG00000023281.1)". Lineage: Eukaryota; Metazoa; Chordata; Mammalia; Carnivora; Ursidae. The record is from RNAcentral.
CAAAUGUGUUUUAUUUAUAUGUUUUGAAACAGGUUUUGCCUGGCAUUUUGCAGAAGCAUUGCUGUAUCUUACCAGACAGGAAUACAGAUGACCGCGCCGUUUCCCCGAUGUGCCCUCGGGGUGAGGUCACCCGGGACCCUGGUGUUCACUUACGUGGAGACCGUUUUCUUCGUUCGUUACCAUGCUCACCUCCACAUCUGCAAACUGAGAAAGGUUCACGACAGGAGCAGAAGAGCACAGGAAGUUCUGUGACUGUUGAGAUGUUUUGUCAUUUUGUAUCAAAAAUACUGAAAACUGAAAUUAAAC